RNAcentral lists this non-coding RNA (25 nucleotides) under Mus musculus (house mouse). The record is from RNAcentral. Lineage: Eukaryota; Metazoa; Chordata; Mammalia; Rodentia; Muridae.
UGAAACAGACUGUUCAUCAAGGCCC